AGCAGCCGCGGUAAUUCCAGCUCCAAUAGCGUAUAUUAAAGUUGUUGCAGUUAAAAAGCUCGUAGUUGAACUUCGGGGUUCACCCAUUGGUCAGGCUUAAUUGUCUGUACUGGUGAGAUGAGUCUCUACCUUCUGAGGAACUUUCAUGUCAUUAAUUUGGUGUGAUGGGAAAUCAGGACUGUUAUUUUGAAAAAUUAGAGUGUUUAAAGCAGGCUAACGUCUGAAUACAUUAGCAUGGAAUAAUGAAAUAGGACGGACUGAUUCUAUUUCGUUGGUUUCUAGGAUCACCGUAAUGAUUAAUAGGGAUAGUUGGGGCAUUAGUAUUCAAUUGCCAGAGGUGAAAUUCUUGGAUUUAUUGAGGACUAACUACUGCGAAAG
This 378-nucleotide ribosomal RNA is filed under the name uncultured Glomeromycotina. RNAcentral describes it as "SSU rRNA". It matches the Rfam family "Eukaryotic small subunit ribosomal RNA", at positions 569 to 951 of the family's 1831-position model. Lineage: Eukaryota; Fungi; Glomeromycota. The record is from RNAcentral.